GUACUUUUGAGAAAAGCGAUUUUGAAAAAAAACACUUCUCAAAAUAAGCUGAUUUUUGCAGCUUGGCCAAACAGGCUAUAAAGGUGAUUGUAUUAUAUAGUCGAGGUACAAAAUCUUAUAAAAAGCAAAACAUUAACGAUUAAGUUACACCUCUAAGGUGAAGUAACUAUCUAUACCUGGAAGGGACUACGGAGGAGUAUGCUGUAUAAUUGGAAAAAGGAAGGAAAAAAGGAAAUAUAGUGCUGGAAAAUGAAUGCAAAAUUGGGAAAGAAGAUUAACAUGGCUCCUGCUGCGCAAGGAUGAAACCCACAAAUCGGGAUAUGGACAGAAUUCUUUUGACAAUUUUUAAUCUGGCUUUAAACAAGUUAUGGUCUUCUUUCUGCAUCUUGGGGUUUCCUUGGAACUUUCAAUCUGAGGUCAGUUCUUUUCUUCCUUUUUUUUAUUGCCCUCUUUGUAUAUGUAAAUUCUGGAAAAGAUUCUUGCUUUAUCAAAUAAGGAUCAAUUAUGCUUCAGUGUGCAAUUCUGGACUUAGAUGAUUAGGUAAAAUGACAAAGGUUUUAUCCUUCUUUUUUAAAGACUAUUUGUCAAGUUAGAUGUCCAAAGAAAUUGGUGGUUAUUUGACUGUUGUCAGCAUAUUAUUUACUCCCUAUUUAAACAUAACAAUUUUUUAUGUGGUGUUGGUGAAAUUUAAGUAAAUAUGGAUAACUUCUGUGUCAAAUUACAUAAAUUUAGACUUAUCUGCAUAGAAAUGGCAAGAGGAAGUGGAUAUAUACGGUGCAAUUUAGUAUCUGCCCAUGUCAAAUGGGUAUGACCAGAGGCUGAGCUAGUAAGAGAGAAGGGUUCAAUUGAUUUCCCUUCGUCAAAAAAUUAUACACCUGCAAAUAGGCUAAAUAUAGAAUAUUUUAGUUAUAUAUAAACUGUUGAUUCCCUUUGGCACAAGGAAAAUCAUACAAUAGUAGUCAAGGGGGUUAAAAAUUUGUUUCAGAUCACAUGUUCUUAUCCCAACUAUGACAUUCUUGUGUUUUUCCAAUCCACUGGCAUAAAAUUCCUGGCUAUGCCACUAGAGUAUAGCGCGCUAUGAGUAUGUGAUGUGGAUCCCAAAUCUGCUGCAACAUGCCCCUUCCAGUCCCAUACUCGGUAUCAGAUAUUUUUACCUGUUUUAGUGACACUUAAGGCUCAGAUACAGAUGUGGAAGGAAAAAAGGCUCGCUCAGCUCAUGGGCUGCUUGGCAAAGCUCAUGAAACUUAAGGCUCAGAUACAGAUGUGGAAGGAAAAAAGGCUCGCUCAGCUCAUGGGCUGCUUGGCAAAGCUCUACCAGACAAUGUUGGAGAAUACGUGAGCUCCCUGCCAAAGCAACAAUUGUAUUAGUUGAUCCACAUUAAUUUUCAUAGAUUUUUUAUUGUAUGACCAACGCCACAGGGACAAUAUUUAUGUAUGUAGUACAACCAUACAAGAACAGCCACAAUAUACGACUAAGAACCCUGUAAACUUCUGUUUGGGUGGGGCAGGAGGGGUUGAUUUUACUAGAUUGGACCUUUAAUCCUCACUUUUCUUUCGAUCCUUCUGUGAUCUAACAAGAAUACUAUAUUACUGAUACACUAACCGUAAGUAAACCAAGUUUUAGUUGUCCAAGCAAGCGUAAACCCUUGCGUUUGUCUUCUGUAAACUAUGUGGAUGUGAAGUAGAGAUGCUGUCUAGUCAAAAAUGCGAGUACUAGCUUGGAUCUUGGGAGACAUUCAUCACGCGGAACUAUUUUUUUGCUCGCACGUCGGUCUUUGUUAUCUGCGUGGCCUUAUCAUCUCAUUAGCAUAAGCUGUCUCAUUUUUGCCACAUAGUAUAUCCCAUGAGCUAGUUAAGCCAAUUCAGUUUUUGGCCCCACAUCCAACUCCCGAGUUGUUUAUUUUUGGAUUACUGGUCAUGUUUAUUCAAUAGGAUGGGAAGUUCAUUUUUUCUAUCGUAUAAUACUGCUAAUCAAGCCCUUAAUUUACCAAUGCGUCACCCCAAGCAUUUACAAUUGAGCUAGUUGAAUAUAUUGAGAACUUUACUGCAGAUUGUGGUCUAGUUACUCUCAAGAAUC
Molecule: long non-coding RNA, 2077 nt
Filed under: Nicotiana benthamiana
Lineage: Eukaryota; Viridiplantae; Streptophyta; Magnoliopsida; Solanales; Solanaceae
Description: long non-coding RNA (NBEN_LNC029541)
Source: RNAcentral